UAAGACGAACCGUGCGAACGUUGUUCGGAAUCACUGGGCUUAAAGGGCGCGUAGGCGGUCUGCCAAGUCGGGGUUGAAAUCUUUCGGCUCAACCGGAAAAGUGGCUUCGAUACUGGCAGGCUGGAGGGAGGUAGGGGCGGAUGGAACUUCCGGUGGAGCGGUGAAAUGUGUUGAUAUCGGAAGGAACGCCGGUGGCGAAAGCGAUCCGCUGGACCUCUUCUGACGCUGAGGCGCGAAAGCCAGGGGAGCAAACGGGAUUAGAUACCCCGGUAGUCCUGGCCCUAAACGAUGGGUACUGAGUAGUGGACUUGCAUGGGUUCACUGCUGAAGCAAAAGUGGUAAGUACCCCGCCUGGGGAGUAUGGUCGCAAGGCUG
This 375-nucleotide ribosomal RNA is filed under the name uncultured bacterium. RNAcentral's name for it is "bacterial SSU rRNA". It matches the Rfam family "Bacterial small subunit ribosomal RNA", at positions 521 to 896 of the family's 1533-position model. The record is from RNAcentral.